Molecule: long non-coding RNA, 276 nt
Filed under: Mytilus galloprovincialis (Mediterranean mussel)
Lineage: Eukaryota; Metazoa; Mollusca; Bivalvia; Mytilida; Mytilidae
Source: RNAcentral
AUUAUUGUUUUCAAAAACGCUGUACAUAAACUAAAUAAUUGUAAAAUUUAAGCGAUUUCUGUAAUUAUGUUAUUUUUUUAUUUCGAUAUUACCUCUAUUUCGCCUAUUUGUUCAACAGAAAAAAAGGACAUUAACAAAAAUGUAUGCUUUUUCCGGAGGCAGAUUGUGAGCUUAAAUGAACGGUGGCCCCAUUUUUUUAUUUCAUUUUUCUUUUAAGUAUAUAAUAAAGUUCGUUUAUAAAAAAAUAUAGCGAAAUCUUAUAUUAAAAAAAAAAAU